UGAUGACGAGGCACCACGGUGCUGAAGCAACAAAUGCCCUGCUUCCAGGAAAAGCCUCUAAGCCUCAGGUAACAUCAAAUCGUACCCCAAACCGACACAGGUGGUCAGGUAGAGAAUACCAAGGCGCUUGAGAGAACUCGGGUGAAGGAACUAGGCAAAAUGGUGCCGUAACUUCGGGAGAAGGCACGCUGACACGUAGGUGAAGUGGUUUACCCAUGGAGCUGAAGUCAGUCGAAGAUACCAGCUGGCUGCAACUGUUUAUUAAAAACACAGCACUGUGCAAACACGAAAGUGGACGUAUACGGUGUGACGCCUGCCCGGUGCCGGAAGGUUAAUUGAUGGGGUCAGCGCAAGCGAAGCUCCUGAUCGAAGCCCCGGUAAACGGCGGCCGUAACUAUAACGGUCCUAAGGUAGCGAAAUUCCUUGUCGGGUAAGUUCCGACCUGCACGAAUGGCGUAAUGAUGGCCAGGCUGUCUCCACCCGGGACUCAGUGAAAUUGAACUCGCUGUGAAGAUGCAGUGUACCCGCGGCAAGACGGAAAGACCCCGUGAACCUUUACUAUAGCUUGACACUGAACACUGGUCCUUGAUGUGCAGGAUAGGUGGGAGGCUUUGAAGUGUGGACGCCAGUCUGCAUGGAGCCAUCCUUGAAAUACCACCCUUUAAUGGCUGGUGUUCUAACGUGGGCCCGUGAACCGGGUUGCGGACAGUGUCUGGUGGGUAGUUUGACUGGGGCGGUCUCCUCCUAAAGAGUAACGGAGGAGCACGAAGGUUGGCUAAUCCUGGUCGGACAUCAGGAGGUUAGUGCAAUGGCAUAAGCCAGCUUGACUGCGAGCGUGACGGCGCGAGCAGGUGCGAAAGCAGGUCAUAGUGAUCCGGUGGUUCUGAAUGGAAGGGCCAUCGCUCAACGGAUAAAAGGUACUCCGGGGAUAACAGGCUGAUACCGCCCAAGAGUUCAUAUCGACGGCGGUGUUUGGCACCUCGAUGUCGGCUCAUCACAUCCUGGGGCUGAAGUAGGUCCCAAGGGUAUGGCUGUUCGCCAUUUAAAGUGGUACGCGAGCUGGGUUUAGAACGUCGUGAGACAGUUCGGUCCCUAUCUGCCGUGGGCGCUGGAAGAUUGAGGGGGGCUGCUCCUAGUACGAGAGGACCGGAGUGGACGCAUCACUGGUGUUCGGGUUGUCAUGCCAAUGGCACUGCCCGGUAGCUACAUGCGGAAGAGAUAAGUGCUGAAAGCAUCUAAGCACGAAACUUGCCCCGAGAUGAAUCUUCCCUGAGCCUUUAAGGCUCCUGAAGGAACGUUGAAGACGACGACGUUGAUAGGCCGGGUGUGUAAGCGCAGCGAUGCGUUGAGCUAACCGGUACUAAUGAACCGUGAGGCUUAACCUUACA
This 1388-nucleotide ribosomal RNA is filed under the name Salmonella enterica. RNAcentral describes it as "partial 23S ribosomal RNA". It matches the Rfam family "Bacterial large subunit ribosomal RNA", at positions 1564 to 2925 of the family's 2925-position model. Lineage: Bacteria; Pseudomonadati; Pseudomonadota; Gammaproteobacteria; Enterobacterales; Enterobacteriaceae. The record is from RNAcentral.